ACACAUGCAGUCGAGCGAGACCUUCGGGUCUAGCGGCGGACGGGUUAGUAACGCGUGGGAACGUGCCCUUCUCUGCGGAAUAGCCACUGGAAACGGUGAGUAAUACCGCAUACGCCCUUCGGGGGAAAGAUUUAUCGGAGAAGGAUCGGCCCGCGUUAGAUUAGAUAGUUGGUGGGGUAAUGGCCUACCAAGUCUACGAUCUAUAGCUGGUUUUAGAGGAUGAUCAGCAACACUGGGACUGAGACACGGCCCAGACUCCUACGGGAGGCAGCAGUGGGGAAUCUUAGACAAUGGGCGCAAGCCUGAUCUAGCCAUGCCGCGUGUGUGAUGAAGGUCUUAGGAUCGUAAAGCACUUUCGCCAGGGAUGAUAAUGACAGUACCUGGUAAAGAAACCCCGGCUAACUCCGUGCCAGCAGCCGCGGUAAUACGGAGGGGGUUAGCGUUGUUCGGAAUUACUGGGCGUAAAGCGUACGUAGGCGGAUCAGAAAGUAAGGGGUGAAAUCCCAGGGCUCAACCCUGGAACUGCCUCUUAAACUCCUGGUCUUGAGUUCGAGAGAGGUGAGUGGAAUUCCAAGUGUAGAGGUGAAAUUCGUAGAUAUUUGGAGGAACACCAGUGGCGAAGGCGGCUCACUGGCUCGAUACUGACGCUGAGGUACGAAAGUGUGGGGAGCAAACAGGAUUAGAUACCCUGGUAGUCCACACCGUAAACGAUGAAUGCCAGUCGUCGGGCAGUAUACUGUUCGGUGACACACCUAACGGAUUAAGCAUUCCGCCUGGGGAGUACGGUCG
RNAcentral lists this ribosomal RNA (789 nucleotides) under Sulfitobacter indolifex. RNAcentral's name for it is "bacterial SSU rRNA". It matches the Rfam family "Bacterial small subunit ribosomal RNA", at positions 51 to 888 of the family's 1533-position model. Lineage: Bacteria; Pseudomonadati; Pseudomonadota; Alphaproteobacteria; Rhodobacterales; Roseobacteraceae. The record is from RNAcentral.